This 78-nucleotide transfer RNA is filed under the name Nitrososphaerota archaeon. RNAcentral describes it as "Thaumarchaeota archaeon tRNA-Ser". It matches the Rfam family "tRNA". From Rfam's summary of the family: Transfer RNA (tRNA) molecules are approximately 80 nucleotides in length. Their secondary structure includes four short double-helical elements and three loops (D, anti-codon, and T loops). The record is from RNAcentral. Lineage: Archaea; Thermoproteati; Nitrososphaerota.
GGGCUCGUAGCGCAGAUCUCUAUUGCGAAGAAGAGACUCCUAAGCUGUAGGUCGCGGGUUCGAAUCCCGCCGAGCCCG